GCUUCUUUUCUUCUGCCUCUAAUCAAAUAGGAACUGAAAUGAAUUAGAAUUUUCUUAUGAAAAUAGCCUUUGUUGUCAGGCAGGCCAGUAAUUCAUAAACAAUAAGCAACGUCAUUGUGUGGCAAGUAAUAUAUUCAUGCUGUGGAAAGAAGGUAGUGCAGGACUAUGGCUCUGUGAAUGAGGGGAGGGAAGGAUUGGUCCAGGACUCUUCAUUUGCAGUCUGCACAGUGGGUGGUUCUGGUAACCACCAGUUUCUCUCUGUCUCUCUCUAUUUCACUCAUGCUCCUGACAUGGUCUCCUCAUUUUCCUCAAGCUCUUCCUUUAAUGAUGCUUUCUUUUUCAUCUGUCUUCUUCCAACAAUUCCUGGGUGAGUUCAACCUUAUUUGAAGGCCUCCGCUCUUCCCUUGUGUUUUGACCUGUCAGGUUUUUCAUUUGCUUUCACAUUCCCCUCCCCUCUUCUUUCCUCUGAGCAAAGCUAUAUAUUCUUGAGAACUUCGGGACGCCGUUGGAUUUUGCUCCCAAACUCGUCUGUCUUGGAAAAAGUAGUGGAUUAUCUGAUGUAGGACGGUGUGCGUAUGAAGGUAUGUGGUCUGAGGGCAAGUCGGAUCUUGAACUUCAGGACAGGAUUGUCACUCAACACAAGUGUCUUCUAGAUCAUUAAGGAUUAGCGUUACUCUUUUAGUGGACCUGGAGGUCUGUCAUGUUCGUUUUCCAACUUAAUAUGUGAACAUUUGCUGUCAUCGCUGGUUAGAGUUCAUCACUUUUUUUCUUGCUGUUCUACUUCGGAACUAACAAUGGAGAUAAAUGUCUAUGACAGAUUUAUCAAUCUAGCUUUUUCCAAAUAAUCAAGAACUUAAUAUUAAAAAAGAUAUCCUUUUGGCAUUAAGUUUUCAACUGCCAUGUUCGAAAACUAGAGGAGCUCCUGCAACUGGUGCUAUGAAGACUUGGGUCAUUUUCAUCAGUGGAUUUUUUAUAGCCUAUAAGAACUUGAAACCUGCUUGAUGACACUCAAAUAAAUCACCAGCUAUCAACAAUGGGCGUUGGCAUGGGAACACACCCCUGGCUGCUACCUGAAUGUGGACGCAGGGCCUUGGCAAACUGCACAUUUUCACCUACAGCCGUAUCCAUGACAACAAAGAACCGUGCCCACUAUCAGACUCUCUGCUAUUGAAUAUUUGAUUGACAGAUGUCCAAAUGUCAACCACUCCCUCUCAGUGAUUUUUAAUCAACCCAAUGUUUGCAUGAGGAUGGCCCAGGGGUCCUGACCAGAGAGGACGGGUUUUGGAAGGGUGGACCCUGGGGAGAUCAGCUUUAACUGCAGGAGGUCUGGAGAUGCUCAAGAUGAGGAUGUCCUAUUGGAGACGCCAUAAUUAAAAAGUUAAAUAUCUUGCAUUAAACCUCAUUAUUGAGAAUUACAUCAAAUCUAGAUUACUUCUAAAUUUUUAUGUGUGCUCAUCAGCGUUUCAUGUGUCCUCAUAUGUGUCCUGAAGCUCUUUUCGAUGGAUGGUGCGUCACACAACGGUGGACAUCAGCUCUUUUUCAAAAAGAAGGUUGCUGUUUUUCAUCUCAGUUUAUUUAAUCUGCGCUUUGCAAACAGACCUGCGGCCACUGCUCUCCAUCUCACUUUAUUGUGUUACAGCCUCAAUACACUCAGCCAAAUCAUGGUGUCCCUGCUUGGAGAAAAACACACACUGGCUGCCAUGGCCCCUUUGCCAUGUUCAACAGUGAAGUGAUGUUGUGCUGAUGCUUUUUGAGGGACAUUCAUUGAGCAAGAGG
Molecule: non-coding RNA, 1776 nt
Organism: Pimephales promelas (fathead minnow)
Lineage: Eukaryota; Metazoa; Chordata; Actinopteri; Cypriniformes; Leuciscidae
Source: RefSeq, a predicted model, not a curated record